CUUUGCAUUGGUCCAGGGUUAUUACAGAUGUAAUACUGGAGGGACAGUGGCAAGCUGAGGUUAAUGGGAUGAGGUUCAACAAGGCCAAGUGCCGGGUCCUGUACUUUGGCCACAAUAACCCCAUGCAGCGCUAUAGGCUUGGAGCAGAGUGUCUGGAUGACUGAGUAGAGGAAAGGGACCUGGGGGUGUUGGUCUAUGCUCAGCUGAAUAAUGAGCCCACAGUGUGCCCAGGUGGCCAAGAAGGCCAACAGCAUCCUGGCCUGUAUAAGAAAGAGUGUGGCCGGCAGGUGCAAAGAGGUGAUCACCCCUCUGUACUCUCGUGAGGCCGCAUAUUGAGUACUGUGUUCAGUUUUGGGCUCCUCACUACAAGAAAGACAUCAAAGCCCUGGAAUGUGUUCAGAGGAGGGCAACAAAACUUGUGAGGGGUCUGGAGCACAAGUCUUAUGAGGAGCAGCUCAGGGAGCUGGGAUUGUUUAGUCUGGAGAAGAGGAGGCUCAGGGGAGACCUCACUGCACUGUACAACUCUACAACCCCUCUAUAGCACUGCUCUCUCUAUUUGGUAAGAUGCUGACUGGCUGCCUCUCUGUGUAUUGGAAAUGGAUACUGUAGAUUACAUCGAAGCCUACGGCAUCAGCAAUGAAAUGGUAAGAGCAGCCAUCUCCAUCUUGGCUGUUCCUGCACCUCCAGACAGUCCCUCUGGCUCUGCCUUCAGACUGCAUGAGGGCUGCUGGCCGGGCAGAGCUGCUGCUGUCCUGCAGCUGUCCUGUGCUGCUCCACACCCCACAACACCUGGUUCCUCUGGCCACCGCUCUCCCCACUCACAUUCCUCGGUCUCUCUGUGCUUGCCAGGAUCUGUUGCAGAAGUUGCAGUUCCUGAACUGCAUUUGCUCACUGUGCAGCACUGCUGGAGAGAAAGGCUGGACAAAGAGCUUGCCUAUCUUCUGCAUUGUACAAGAUCUGUCACAGAAGAUUGAGGUUCUGUUGUGUGAGGAGCCCAGCGAGCAGCUGAGCACAGCACUCAGAUACCACUGCAUGAAUGCGAUUGCUGCCCUGAGUGCAGUGAAUGCAAUUACGGAGGAAGAGAUAUUACAUCUCUUCAACGUGUGCUGCAGUGUCAUCUUCUACGUUCCUCCAACCAGCGACCUGAACAUUUGCCUCUACAACAACGUAUGUACUGGGCAAUGUGCUCUGUUUCCUUCUGUUGCAGCCCUUCAUCCAAGCCAGCAUUCAUCAUUCCUAAGAACCUAG
RNAcentral lists this long non-coding RNA (1248 nucleotides) under Coturnix japonica (Japanese quail). RNAcentral describes it as "lncRNA (ENSCJPG00005003605.1)". Lineage: Eukaryota; Metazoa; Chordata; Aves; Galliformes; Phasianidae. The record is from RNAcentral.